RNAcentral lists this ribosomal RNA (935 nucleotides) under Alternaria malorum var. polymorpha. RNAcentral describes it as "eukaryotic LSU rRNA". It matches the Rfam family "Eukaryotic large subunit ribosomal RNA", at positions 1 to 953 of the family's 3401-position model. Lineage: Eukaryota; Fungi; Ascomycota; Dothideomycetes; Pleosporales; Pleosporaceae. The record is from RNAcentral.
UUGACCUCGGAUCAGGUAGGGAUACCCGCUGAACUUAAGCAUAUCAAUAAGCGGAGGAAAAGAAACCAACAGGGAUUGCCCUAGUAACGGCGAGUGAAGCGGCAACAGCUCAAAUUUGAAAUCUGGCUCUUUUAGAGUCCGAGUUGUAAUUUGCAGAGGGCGCUUUGGCUUUGGCAGCGGUCCAAGUUCCUUGGAACAGGACGUCACAGAGGGUGAGAAUCCCGUACGUGGUCGCUGGCUAUUGCCGUGUAAAGCCCCUUCGACGAGUCGAGUUGUUUGGGAAUGCAGCUCUAAAUGGGAGGUACAUUUCUUCUAAAGCUAAAUAUUGGCCAGAGACCGAUAGCGCACAAGUAGAGUGAUCGAAAGAUGAAAAGCACUUUGGAAAGAGAGUCAAACAGCACGUGAAAUUGUUGAAAGGGAAGCGCUUGCAGCCAGACUUGCUUGCAGUUGCUCAUCCGGGCUUUUGCCCGGUGCACUCUUCUGCAGGCAGGCCAGCAUCAGUUUGGGCGGUAGGAUAAAGGUCUCUGUCACGUACCUCUCUUCGGGGAGGCCUUAUAGGGGAGACGACAUACUACCAGCCUGGACUGAGGUCCGCGCAUCUGCUAGGAUGCUGGCGUAAUGGCUGUAAACGGCCCGUCUUGAAACACGGACCAAGGAGUCUAACAUCUAUGCGAGUGUUUGGGUGUCAAGCCCGAGCGCGUAAUGAAAGUGAACGGAGGUAGGAACCCGCAAGGGUGCACUAUCGACCGAUCCUGAUGUCUUCGGAAGGAUUUGAGUAAGAGCAUGGCUGUUGGGACCCGAAAGAUGGUGAACUAUGCUUGAAUAGGGUGAAGCCAGAGGAAACUCUGGUGGAGGCUCGCACCGGUUCUGACGUGCAAAUCGAUCGUCAAAUUUGGGCAUAGGGGCGAAAGACUAAUCGAACUAUCUAGUAGCUG